GCGGGAGUAGCUCAGCUGGUAGAGCGCAACCUUGCCAAGGUUGAGGUCGCGAGUUCGAACCUCGUCUCCCGCUCCA
Molecule: transfer RNA, 76 nt
Filed under: Burkholderia cenocepacia
Lineage: Bacteria; Pseudomonadati; Pseudomonadota; Betaproteobacteria; Burkholderiales; Burkholderiaceae
Also listed under: 1 other name
Description: tRNA-Gly
Rfam family: tRNA
About the family: Transfer RNA (tRNA) molecules are approximately 80 nucleotides in length. Their secondary structure includes four short double-helical elements and three loops (D, anti-codon, and T loops).
Source: RNAcentral